CUUCUUAAGUAAAGAUAUGUCAAUUCUUGCAUGCUUUAUAUAAGUCACAUUAAUACCACAAUAUAUACUUUUUUUAAUUGAAUAUUCAUUUUAUAUCUUUUUAUUCAUUUAUCAUGUUUAUCAUUAAAAUUUGACACAAUCAUGACAAUUUGAAAAGAAUUAGGAAAUUCACUAUAAUUACAAUUUCAGGGGGCCAAAAAAUGGUCCUUACAUCUGGUCUUCUAUUCUGCAAAGCUUAACAAACAAACAAAAUAAAAUAAUAGUAUGAACCUAAAAACCAAACAAAAGAGCAUUCAAAAACACUUAAAAGAUACAUUCUUUCUAACACCAAUUCUUACUUAGUAAGGGCUUCAGUAUUUCAAUUAGUUUUACUAGCCAUGCUAAAGCAUGUACAGUGUGUACCAUUAUACAACAAUUAUGAUGAUAAUGCACACAAUUACAGUAUACUGUGGAUUCAAAAUGAUUCAUUAGAUACAUAUUUCCGUUAAUUUUGCAGGAACAGAUGAACCACAAACGAAUUUAAAUGCUUUUAAUGAAUUACAUAUUUUCUAUAGGCUUGCAUUUUGAUUUUGUUAAAACCCCAGAAUCGAUUAACCAUGAAAAUGCAAGUUUUUCUCAUGCAAUCCAAGAAAAUUGGUAGCCACGAAAUUAAAUGAAUCCACAGUUAAUAGAAAUGAUACAAAUAAGGAUCAGUAAGUACAGCAUGUAUUAUUUGAGUCCCAAAAAAUAGUCCUUCUAUCAUGCCAGAUAGGCAAGCACAACAGAUAUUUAUCAUUAGCAACUGCAAGAAUUAAAAUGACUUGAACAUGGGUUAAAAAAAAUUAUCAAGUAAAUGAUUUU
RNAcentral lists this long non-coding RNA (840 nucleotides) under Mytilus galloprovincialis (Mediterranean mussel). Lineage: Eukaryota; Metazoa; Mollusca; Bivalvia; Mytilida; Mytilidae. The record is from RNAcentral.